UGUCAAGGGAUGGGAAUCGAACCCACGACCUUCCGCUUACCGCGCAGAUGCCAUGACCACUAGGCUACCCUGGAC
This 75-nucleotide transfer RNA is filed under the name Cordylochernes scorpioides. RNAcentral describes it as "tRNA-Thr". Lineage: Eukaryota; Metazoa; Arthropoda; Arachnida; Pseudoscorpiones; Chernetidae. The record is from RNAcentral.